GGAGUCUGGGCCGUAUCUCAGUCCCAAUGUGGCCGAUCAGCCUCUCAGCCCGGCUACCCAUCGCGGGCACGGUGGGCCGUUACCCCGCCGUCUACCUAAUGGGCCGCGACCCCAUCCCCUCCCGUGAAGGCUUUCCCGGGAAGAUCAUGCGAUGAUCCCGGAGUAUCCGGUAUUAGCAGCCGUUUCCAGCUGUUGUCCCGGAGGAGGGGGCAGGUUGGUCACGUGUUACUCACCCGUUCGCCACUCUAUAUCCGCCGUAGCGGUUUAAUCGUUCGACUUGCAUGUGUUAGGCACGCCGCCAGCGUUCAUC
Molecule: ribosomal RNA, 310 nt
Filed under: uncultured Coriobacteriaceae bacterium
Lineage: Bacteria; Bacillati; Actinomycetota; Coriobacteriia; Coriobacteriales; Coriobacteriaceae
Description: partial 16S ribosomal RNA
Source: RNAcentral